GACGAACGCUGGCGGCGUGCCUAAUACAUGCAAGUCGAACGCUUUGAUUUUCACCGGAGCUUGCUCCACCGAAAAUCAAAGAGUGGCGGACGGGUGAGUAACACGUGGGCAACCUGCCCAACAGAGGGGGAUAACACUUGGAAACAGGUGCUAAUACCGCAUAAUUUGUUUUUCCGCAUGGAAGAAUAAUAAAAGACGCUUCGGUGUCACUGUUGGAUGGGCUCGCGCUGCAUUAGUUAGUUGGUGGGGUAACGGCCUACCAAGACCAUGAUGCAUAGCCGACCUGAGAGGGUGAUCGGCCACACUGGGACUGAGACACGGCCCAGACUCCUACGGGAGGCAGCAGUAGGGAAUCUUCGGCAAUGGACGAAAGUCUGACCGAGCAACGCCGCGUGAGUGAAGAAGGUUUUCGGAUCGUAAAACUCUGUUGUUAGAGAAGAACAAGUGAGAGAGUUACCGUUCUCACCUUGACGGUAUCUAACCAGAAAGCCACGGCUAACUACGUGCCAGCAGCCGCGGUAAUACGUAGGUGGCAAGCGUUGUCCGGAUUUAUUGGGCGUAAAGCGAGCGCAGGCGGUUUCUUAAGUCUGAUGUGAAAGCCCUCGGCUCAACCGAGGAAGGUCAUUGGAAACUGGGGAACUUGAGUGCAGAAGAGGAGAGUGGAAUUCCAUGUGUAGCGGUGAAAUGCGUAGAUAUAUGGAGGAACACCAGUGGCGAAGGCGACUCUCUGGUCUGUAACUGACGCUGAGGCUCGAAAGCGUGGGGAGCAAACAGG
Molecule: ribosomal RNA, 775 nt
Filed under: uncultured bacterium
Lineage: Bacteria
Description: bacterial SSU rRNA
Rfam family: Bacterial small subunit ribosomal RNA
Source: RNAcentral